This 491-nucleotide ribosomal RNA is filed under the name uncultured bacterium. RNAcentral describes it as "partial 16S ribosomal RNA". It matches the Rfam family "Bacterial small subunit ribosomal RNA", at positions 29 to 506 of the family's 1533-position model. The record is from RNAcentral.
AGUGAACGCUGGCGGUAGGCCUAACACAUGCAAGUCGAACGGCAGCACAGUAAGAGCUUGCUCUUACGGGUGGCGAGUGGCGGACGGGUGAGGAAUACAUCGGAAUCUACUUUUUCGUGGGUGAUAACGUAGGGAAACUUACGCUAAUACCGCAUACGACCUACGGGUGAAAGCAGGGGAUCUUCGGACCUUGCGCGAUUGAAUGAGCCGAUGUCGGAUUAGCUAGUUGGCGGGGUAAAGGCCCACCAAGGCGACGAUCCGUAGCUGGUCUGAGAGGAUGAUCAGCCAAACUGGAACUGGGAAAGGGUCCAGACUCCUAGGGGAGGCAGCAGUGGGGAAUAUUGGACAAGGGGCGAAAGCCUGAUCCAGCCAUACCGGGUGGGUGAAGAAGGCCUUCGGGUUGUAAAGCCCUUUUGUUGGGAAAGAAAAGCAGCAGGUUAACACCCCGCUGUUCUGACGGUACCCAAAGAAUAAGCACCGGCUAACUUCGU